GUACCCGUGGCCGAGUUGGUCGAUGGCGUCGGACUCUUAAUCCGCCUGCGAAAGCACACCGCUGGUUCGAAUCCAGCCGGGUACUCCA
This 88-nucleotide transfer RNA is filed under the name Pseudaminobacter soli (ex Zhang et al. 2022). RNAcentral's name for it is "tRNA-Lys". It matches the Rfam family "tRNA". Rfam says of the family: Transfer RNA (tRNA) molecules are approximately 80 nucleotides in length. Their secondary structure includes four short double-helical elements and three loops (D, anti-codon, and T loops). The record is from RNAcentral. Lineage: Bacteria; Pseudomonadati; Pseudomonadota; Alphaproteobacteria; Hyphomicrobiales; Phyllobacteriaceae.